This 291-nucleotide long non-coding RNA is filed under the name Lathyrus oleraceus (garden pea). Its description in RNAcentral is "Pisum sativum (pea) long non-coding RNA (PSAT_LNC041509)". The record is from RNAcentral. Lineage: Eukaryota; Viridiplantae; Streptophyta; Magnoliopsida; Fabales; Fabaceae.
UUGACUGCAUCGGAAUUCACAGGACGAGUGAACUUCCAUCCAUUGUUGUAAGUGUCAGAACAUCGCCUGAAGAGGCUCUCUUGUCCAUAUGUGGACAUUCAUAGCUUGGGGGUUCACUUGCCCCUGGAAUCGGGUGUGAAAGACAAGACUUUCUUGAGCACAAAGUCCCUCGGAACACACGAGGCUUGAUCUUCUUGUCAAAUGCUUUCUGACCAUAAAACAUGGCAGUUGAUCUUUUGUUUUUGCUUGAAUUCAGCAUCAGUCAACUUGGGACUUUGAGGGUGCUAUUUU